This 77-nucleotide transfer RNA is filed under the name Bdellovibrionales bacterium. RNAcentral's name for it is "tRNA-Arg". It matches the Rfam family "tRNA". Rfam says of the family: Transfer RNA (tRNA) molecules are approximately 80 nucleotides in length. Their secondary structure includes four short double-helical elements and three loops (D, anti-codon, and T loops). Further hydrogen bonds mediate the characteristic L-shaped molecular structure. tRNAs have two regions of fundamental functional importance: the anti-codon, which is responsible for specific mRNA codon recognition, and the 3' end, to which the tRNAs corresponding amino acid is attached (by aminoacyl-tRNA synthetases). tRNAs cope with the degeneracy of the genetic code in two manners: having more than one tRNA (with a specific anti-codon) for a particular amino acid; and 'wobble' base-pairing, i.e. permitting non-standard base-pairing at the 3rd anti-codon position. Lineage: Bacteria; Pseudomonadati; Bdellovibrionota; Bdellovibrionia; Bdellovibrionales. The record is from RNAcentral. RNAcentral also lists the same sequence under 1 other name.
GCGCCCUUAGCUCAGCUGGAUAGAGCGCCAGACUACGAAUCUGGAGGUCACAUGUUCGAAUCAUGUAGGGCGCGCCA